GAAAUGCGAUAAGUAAUGUGAAUUGCAGAAUUCAGUGAAUCAUCGAAUCUUUGAACGCACAUUGCGCCCCCUGGUAUUCCGGGGGGCAUGCCUGUUCGAGCGUCAUUUCACCACUCAAGCCUCGCUUGGUAUUGGGCGACGCGGUCCGCCGCGCGCCUCAAAUCGACCGGCUGGGUCUUUCGUCCCCUCAGCGUUGUGGAAACUAUUCGCUAAAGGGUGCCGCGGGUGGCCACGCCGUAAAACAACCCCAUUUCUAAGGUUGACCUCGGAUCAGGUAGGGAUACCCGCUGAACUUAAGC
Molecule: unclassified non-coding RNA, 299 nt
Filed under: plant metagenome
Description: partial contains 5.8S ribosomal RNA, internal transcribed spacer 2, and large subunit ribosomal RNA
Rfam family: 5.8S ribosomal RNA (bases 1-105)
Source: RNAcentral